UAGACCAAUGAUGAGUAUCCUCUGGUGUCUGAAUCAAGAAUUUUGAUUAAGCCCUAUAAUUCUGAGAUCCAU
This is a small nucleolar RNA of Diceros bicornis minor, 72 nucleotides long. RefSeq annotates it as small nucleolar RNA SNORD113/SNORD114 family. NCBI's taxonomy places the organism in Eukaryota, Metazoa, Chordata, Mammalia, Perissodactyla, Rhinocerotidae. The record is from RefSeq and is a predicted model, not a curated record. The transcript has a single exon.